RNAcentral lists this transfer RNA (76 nucleotides) under Klebsiella aerogenes. RNAcentral's name for it is "tRNA-Phe". It matches the Rfam family "tRNA". From Rfam's summary of the family: Transfer RNA (tRNA) molecules are approximately 80 nucleotides in length. Lineage: Bacteria; Pseudomonadati; Pseudomonadota; Gammaproteobacteria; Enterobacterales; Enterobacteriaceae. RNAcentral also lists the same sequence under 2 other names. The record is from RNAcentral.
GCCCGGAUAGCUCAGUCGGUAGAGCAGGGGAUUGAAAAUCCCCGUGUCGGUGGUUCGAUUCCGAGUCCGGGCACCA